CCUACGGGAGGCAGCAGUGGGGAAUUUUGCGCAAUGGGAGAAACCCUGAAGGAGCGACGCCGCGUGGAGGAUGAAGGUCUUCGGAUUGUAAACUCCUGUCAUGAGGGAACAAACCUGCGCAUUUAACUGGUGCGCAGCUGAUAGUACCUCAAGAGGAAGAGACGGCUAACUCUGUGCCAGCAGCCGCGGUAAU
RNAcentral lists this ribosomal RNA (193 nucleotides) under uncultured Verrucomicrobiales bacterium. RNAcentral describes it as "partial 16S ribosomal RNA". It matches the Rfam family "Bacterial small subunit ribosomal RNA", at positions 338 to 524 of the family's 1533-position model. The record is from RNAcentral. Lineage: Bacteria; Pseudomonadati; Verrucomicrobiota; Verrucomicrobiia; Verrucomicrobiales.